This 301-nucleotide ribosomal RNA is filed under the name uncultured bacterium. Its description in RNAcentral is "partial 16S ribosomal RNA". It matches the Rfam family "Bacterial small subunit ribosomal RNA", at positions 509 to 809 of the family's 1533-position model. The record is from RNAcentral.
CAGUCGCCGCGGUAAUACGAAGGGGGCUAGCGUUGCUCGGAAUGACUGGGCGUAAAGGGCGCGUAGGCGGAUCACGCAGUCAGAUGUGAAAUUCCUGGGCUUAACCUGGGGGCUGCAUUUGAGACGCGUGGUCUAGAGUGUGAAAGAGGGUCGUGGAAUUCCCAGUGUAGAGGUGAAAUUCGUAGAUAUUGGGAAGAACACCGGUGGCGAAGGCGGCGACCUGGUUCAUUACUGACGCUGAGGCGCGAAAGCGUGGGGAGCAAACAGGAUUAGAUACCCGCGUAGUCCCUGUCUCUUAUAA